Molecule: ribosomal RNA, 253 nt
Filed under: uncultured bacterium
Lineage: Bacteria
Description: partial 16S ribosomal RNA
Rfam family: Bacterial small subunit ribosomal RNA
Source: RNAcentral
UACAGAGGGUGCAAGCGUUAAUCGGAAUUACUGGGCGUAAAGCGUGCGUAGACGGUUACAUAAGUCGGGUGUGAAAGCCCCGGGCUCAACCUGGGAAUUGCAUUCGAGACUGCGUAGCUAGGGUGCGGAAGAGGGAAGCGGAAUUUCCGGUGUAGCGGUGAAAUGCGUAGAUAUUCGGAAGAACACCAGUGGCGAAGGCGGCUCACUGGACUGGUAUUGACGCUCAUGUGCGAAAGCGUGGGGAGCAAACAGG